AUGAAAGCGACGUCUAUCCUGAAGCACGAAGACAGCAGCGGGGCCCGGGGAGGUCUGUGCACCCAGGCUGCAGACGCAGCAGCAGCAAAAUUGCGAUGGUCCCGAGAGCCUUUCCGGAAACCCUGGGGCUCGCGCCCUCCCCUCUCCCACGGGCCUAACCUUGGGCCGAGAGUCCCAGAAUCACUCGCCCAAACCCAGGGCUUGUGCGCAGUGUGGCAUCGAGAGGCUGCUUUUGAAGAGACGUUCGGCGGAUGGAGCGUGGAUGCUGUAUUGCAGGUGCAGACCACCUGGCUCUGGCAGGCCAGCGGGCAAGCCGGCACCGGAGGUUCUCGCAGGCUUCCUUUCCUGGUGUUUCACUCCAAGAAGUCCAGGAAUUUUAAAUCCAUUCCUGUCAUCCUGGGUAACCAUAAUGGUAGACUUUUCAAAGUAAGAGAAUACAAGCUAUUUCAUUUUCGAUUGCAAAGUCUUUUUGGUGUUCGUUUGUAUGUUUUUCCUUAAGCUGGUCGGGAUCUUUGAGAGAGAGAGAGAGAGAGAGAGAGAGAGAGAGCCUAAAGGUAGAUGGCAACCUUGCCACUAACAUUUGCAGGUGCCAGUGCAAAGAGUAAAGAAAAGAGGCAACAAAGCUCCUUAGGCUGCUGGGUGGAUUGCCAGGAUAGCUUAUUUUGUCUUCUAUUCAUGGUCCUCGAGGGCUAGGAACAAGGAAAUCGACAUUUUCAGUCCCAGGCUCGCGCUAGAAGGAUUAUAGCAGGUCCUCACUACAAUAAGGUGGGAUUCCCAAGGUCUAAGCCCUUGGGGGUAGGGGUGAUCUUAUCUAGUCCUGCCCCUUCAGGUCCCAGGGCUCUUUGGACAAGGCGGCCUUGGCACUACAAAUAAUAUAAGGAAAAGGAAUGUUGAAAAAGCCCUUGAGAAUAAAUAAAUAAGGAAGGAAGCUCA
This 933-nucleotide long non-coding RNA is filed under the name Vulpes vulpes (red fox). RNAcentral's name for it is "lncRNA (ENSVVUG00000007545.1)". Lineage: Eukaryota; Metazoa; Chordata; Mammalia; Carnivora; Canidae. The record is from RNAcentral.